GUCCACGAGUUUGGGACCGGGUUGGUCACGUGACGCGGUGGGGGCACCAUGGGGUGAUGUGAGAUGCGGGUGCCUCAGAUUACGUACAAAUGACGUAUUCCUACCCCUUUUGGCAACCAGAUUUCCGUUGGAAGAUGCAACGGUUCCGGUGACGGUAGCCAGUUCUCGCGUCCACGCAGCUCCGCUUCCGCUCGGGGCGCAACAACUUCCGACUCCACCUUCCGCGCCUCGGGCGAGGAAGAGACGCGACCAUAUGCGCAUGCCCCGAAUUUAUCACGGAGGGGCGGGGCUGAGGCUGCGGGAGCUGGAGGGGGGAAGAAAAGGGAAUUCCAACCUGUGGAACCUUGGGGGGUCCCCGGGGUCGGCGCCUUCCCAUUGACUGUGGGCGGUGCAAGGGACGGAGGCUCUGGUGGCUCGUGGGGGUGUUGGGGUCCACAGGGGGAGGGAGGGGAGUGUCAGAGUGUGAGUGGGGUACGGGUAUUCCAAGUUUGCCGGCCUCCCGGUCUGACGCCGGGGAGGGAGAGCUCAGGCCGCCAUGCGGGACAGGACCCACGAGCUGAGGCAGGGGGAUGACAGCUCGGACGAAGAGGACAAGGAGCGAGUCGCGCUGGUGGUGCACCCAGGCACGGCACGGCUGGGGAGCCCGGACGAGGAGUUCUUCCAGAAGGUCCGGACAAUUCGGCAGACUAUUGUCAAGCUGGGGAAUAAAGUCCAGGAGUUGGAGAAACAGCAGGUCACCAUCCUGGCCACGCCCCUUCCUGAGGAGAGCAUGAAGCAGGAGCUGCAGAACCUGCGCGACGAGAUCAAACAGCUGGGGAGGGAGAUCCGCCUGCAGCUGAAGGCCAUAGAGCCCCAGAAGGAGGAAGCUGAUGAGAACUAUAACUCCAUCAACACAAGAAUGAGAAAAACCCAGCAUGGGGUCCUGUCCCAGCAAUUCGUGGAGCUCAUCAACAAGUGCAAUUCAAUGCAGUCCGAAUACCGGGAGAAGAACGUGGAGCGGAUCCGGAGGCAGCUGAAGAUCACCAAUGCUGGGAUGGUGUCUGACGAGGAGCUGGAGCAGAUGCUGGAUAGUGGGCAGAGCGAGGUGUUUGUGUCCAAUAUCCUGAAGGACACACAGGUGACUCGACAGGCCUUAAAUGAGAUCUCGGCCCGGCACAGUGAGAUCCAGCAGCUUGAACGCAGUAUUCGUGAGCUGCACGAUAUCUUCACUUUUCUGGCUUCUGAAGUGGAGAUGCAGGGGGAGAUGAUCAAUCGGAUUGAGAAGAACAUCCUGAGCUCAGCGGACUACGUGGAACGCGGGCAGGAGCACGUCAAGACAGCCCUGGAGAACCAGAAGAAGGCGAGGAAGGCCCCUGCUGUUGCUGCCGCUGCCGCUGCUCCUAGCUGCCCAGUCUGGCGGGCUCAGUCCCGCAUUGCCACGCAUGGGAGACCGCCUCGCGGAAGCGCUGGAUGUGGCUUCGCUGAUGCACGUUGGACCGGGCCCUGGACUGGGCUAGGGGAAGGGCAGGAGGGCGGAAUUGGGCCCGAGGGCCGGGCCUGGCCGACCCCCGACUGCUCUGCCUCCAUGGAGGCUGGCGGCCCCGCAGAGCCUCCCGGUGGCCCUGGAGUGCGGGUUGUCCUGUCCGAGAUCACCCACAAUUGGGCGAGAUCACCCGCAAUUGGGCGAGCUGUGCAUGGGACGUGGCCGAGGCCGUGGUUUGGUUGCAAUUGGCCAGCGGGACCUAAGUGUUGUCUCUGAAGAGCAUGGGCAUUAGUCUGGAGGGUCCUGGGAGAGUGAUCUCUGCCCCAUCAAAUGGCAUUUAGGUCUAGGAAGCAGGUGUGGGCGGGGCCUUAGGGCGAGGCACAGACAUACCCCGAAGUGGUUGGAUUGUAGACCGCAAGGGGCUGGAUCGAACCCCCAAAAGACACUGGAAGGCUGUGUGGCUGAGGAGGGUCCAGCAGGUCCAGUGUUUCGUAGGCUUUACAGGAAGGAGCUCCACUUUCUCAAGAGUGUGCAGAUGCGAUCUAGGUGUGUCCACCCGAUGGGAGUUGUGGGGCCGGGCGGAUGCUGCCCCAGUACAAAGCUGAUUUGGACCUAGGGCCUCUGGACUUCCCUGAUUCUCUGCUUGCAUCUCCAGCAAACUCCUGUCCCGUUGGCUGCCUUCAUCCACUCUCUCACCUCUCUGCCUUCAGAGUAAAAUUGCAAGAUCUGUGGUGCUUACUGGGAUCUGAUAGAGUCUCUCGGCAUGCACUGUCUAUGCAUCGGGGAUCCACGUGCAUCAGGGGUCCCUGUGCAGUGUGUGCCUCUUCUUAGCCAUGCUGGACAGCACCACCCCUGAAAAGCAGCUCCCCUGUUUACCCAGAAAGCCGUCCAGAACCUCCUGGAAAAGGUGGCCUGAUAGCAGUGGCCUCGGAUGCCAGGCUCAAUCCUUUGAACUUUUCCUGUGGGCUGUCAGGACCCAUAGAAGGUCUUUGAGCAGCUCAUAGGUCUCUGAAUCAAGAGAAGCUGCAUCUGGACCUGAUAUAGAAGAGACUAUUAGAGAUCCUGGGCUUGAGGCUGAUUCCAUGUCAGAUGGGUCACUUAGGUGGUCUCCCUUCGGAAGGGGAUGCAUUUAUUUUGCAUAUGGAAGAAAAUGCAAAGGCAGUAUUUGUAAGGAAGAGGGCAGACGGGGGAAGAUUUUAUAAUUGUUCAAAAACAUUCACUGGGCUGGGUGCGGUGGCUCAUGCCUAUAAUCCCAGUGCUUUGGGAGGGUGAGGCAGGAGGAUCACUUGAGGCUGAGUUUGAGACCAGCAUGGGCAACAUAGUGAGACCCUAUCUCUACAAAAAAUAAAACAAUAAAAAAAAAUUAGCUGGGCGUGGUGGUGCUUGCCUGUAGUCGUAGCUACAGGCUGAGGUGGGAGGAUCGCUUAAGCUCAGGAGGUAGAGGCUGCAGUGAGUUAUGAUUGCACCAUGCACCCAUGCACUCCAGCCUGGGCAACACAAGAAGACACUGACUCUAAACAACCAACAAAACAAAAUCACAUGUAUUCACUGGCCCUCUCUUUGGGGACCUGCUAUAUGUUAGGCAGGGAUUUAGACCCAACAUGGUGGUACCACCUGACAUGGCAGGCCCCUUGUCGGGACUUUACCCGCUGAGACUUCCUGCUAGGACUUUUCAGUGCACGAAAAGCACCCUGAGCUCGCCAAAACUCCCCGCUCUGCUCUGCGCAAACUCCUGGACACGUCAUUCCUCAGAAAUCGAAACCUAACUCAGGAAACCGAAACCUACAGACCCCGCCUACCUCGCCCUAUAAAAGGCCGGAUACCUGCCCUGCCUGCGACUUCCUCGGCCCUCCUCCUAGGGGACCGGUGAACCUCGCCCGCAAGCCCAAUAAAGGCUACCUCUGUUCUCAUCUGCCUCAUGUCUUCUUGCUCAGCUCCCCAUUACAUUGGUGCCGAAACCUGGGAGGAGACCCCUCCCCAGACCCCUGCCGGUUCGGGCAGGCUCUCCUCUCCCUGAGCCAGGACCUCCUCUCUGAGCCGGGAGAUGUUUUACCAAAUCCAAGACUCAGUUCGAUCACUGCUGGGUAAGUUUUCCCCCGUCCUGCAGGCUCCAGAAGUCCAUGCCCAAAAACGCGGCCGCGUCAGGGCUUCCCCCGUCCAUCACUUGUGACCUUGGCACCGGGGACUAGGAGACGUCUGACCUCCCUGGAAGCUGCCAUACCCUGCACUCCGCGUGGCAGUGAGAGGAUGCUCCCGUUGCCUCCGGACUGCUCGCCUCAGGAUCAUGGGGGCUGCCCAGUCCAAACCAGACCCAAAAUCCCUCUGGGGUGCCUCUUGGCUAAUUUCCAGACUUUAGGUCUCAGCCAAGACCUAAAACGAAAGCGGCUUAUUUUCUUCUGCACAGUGGCAUGGCCGCAGUAUAAAUUGGAUAAUCAGUCUCAGUGGCCUGCAGAAGGCACUCUAGACUUUAACAUCCUCAUAGAUCUGACCAACUUCUGCAAGAGACUAGGCAAAUGGUCUGAGGUACCCUAUGUUCAGGCCUUUCGGGACUUGCGCUCCUGCCCAGACCUCUGUGCGCAAUGUUCGUUGGCCCAGGUCUUGCUCACGAAAUCUACUUCCUCAAGCAAGGAAAAGGACGAUUCUUCCUCCUUCUCUGAGCCCCCAAUACUCUUUCCCUACCCCUCCUUCAGUCCCCCGCUCAACCUCCCCCUUACUCUGACCCGUCGUUGUCUCCGUCCUUGUCGGCGCCACCCCUUCCCUCCACUCCUCCUGUGUCCCCACCAAACCUGACGGACCCUGUCUCUCCUCCCUCCUCCUCCUGCUCGCCUGUCUCAGCCCAUACCCGGUCCAGGACUGACCUCCUGUGCCCCUUGCGGGAAGUGGCAGGCGCCGAAGGAGUGGUCCGGGUCUAUGUGCCGUUUUUGCGGGCAGACCUGUCUAAGAUUGAAGAGCAUGUAGUCUCUUUCUCAGCCAACCCCACUCUGUAUAUCAAAGAGUUCAGAUACCUAUGCCAGCAUAUGACCUCACCUGGCAUGAUCUCCAUGUCAUUAUAACCUCAACCCUGUCCCCUGAGAAACGGGAGCAUAUCCUAGCAGCAGCCAGGAAGCAUGAUGACCAGGUUCAUUUAACUGACCCUGCCAUGCCAGUCAGCACCAAGGCGGUGCCCUCUGCCGAGCCUGGCUAGGACUACCAGGUUGGGCAGGCAGGCUGCUGCCACCGAGACAUGAUGGUCCAGUGCCUUCUUGCCAGCAUGCAGGCAGCCUCCAAUAAGUCAGUCAACUUUGAUAAAUUAAAGGAGGUAGUCCACGGCUCAAAUGAAAAUCUGGCCGUUUUUCUUAACCGACUGACUGAGGCACUCAUUCAGUACACCCGCCUUGACCCUGCCUCCCCCGCAGGAGGAACCGUCUUGGCUACGUACUUUAUUUCUCAGUCGGCUCCGGAUAGCUGGAAAAAAUUUAAAAAGGUGGAGGAUGGCCCUCAAACUCCCAUCCAGGAUUUAGUCAAACUGGCCUUCAAGGUCUACAACUCCAGGGAGGAAGCAGCUGAGGCCCAGCAACAGGCCAGGCUAAAACAGAAGGUACAACUCCAAACCCAGGCCUUGGUGGCAGCCCUGAGGCCGGCAGGCUCCAGGAGCUCUCAGAGAGGAGGUACUCCCCGAGCGCCACCUGGUGCCUGCUUCAAGUGCAGCAACAAAGGCCACUGGGCCAAGCAGUGCCCCAACCCUAAGGAACCAACUCGCCCCUGUCCAAGCUGUGGGCAGAUGGGCCAUUGGAAGUCAGACUGCCCCAACCUGAGGACGGUCGCUACGCCUCCACAUGACGACCCUCCUCCAGGUACUGGAGGCGUCUUCCAGCUCCUCGACACCGACAAAGAUUGAAGAGGCCCAGACUCAGGAACCUCUCUUACUCUCGCCGAGCCCAGGGUUAUGCUCCAGGUAGCGGCUCCCUGUGUCCUCCGCUUCGUCCAGGACCACAUAAAGGAAGUCUCCCGGGUCACUGUCAGUCAGAUGCUACUCCACCCCUAUACCCGAGUUCUGACCUCCGAAGAACCCCACAAUGACCUAUACCAGCAGGAAGCAGCCAGAGGAACACGUCGCCCCUUUUUCUUAUUAGAAAGAAGUCGGAAUGUUAGGCAGGGACCUAGACCCAACAUGGCGGUACCACCUGACAUGGCGGGCCCCUUGUCAGGACUUUACCCGCUGGGACCUCCUGCUAGGACUUUUCAGCGCGCGAAAAGCACCCUGAGCCCGCCAAAACUCCCCGCUCUGUGCAAACUCCUGGGCACCUCAUUCCUCAGAAACCGAAACCUACAGACCCCGCCUACCUCGCCCUACAAAAGGCCCCUGAUACCUGCCCUCCGUGUGACUUCCUCGGCCCUCCUCCUAGGGGACCAGUGAACCUCGCCCGCGAGCCCAAUAAAAGCUACCUCUGUUCUCA
Molecule: non-coding RNA, 5898 nt
Organism: Macaca mulatta (Rhesus monkey)
Lineage: Eukaryota; Metazoa; Chordata; Mammalia; Primates; Cercopithecidae
Source: RefSeq, a predicted model, not a curated record